CUACGGGUUGCUGCAGUGGGGAAUAUUGCACAAUGGGCGCAAGCCUGAUGCAGCCAUGCCGCGUGUAUGAAGAAGGCCUUCGGGUUGUAAAGUACUUUCAGCGGGGAGGAAGGGAGUAAAGUUAAUACCUUUGCUCAUUGUCGUUACCUGCAGAAGAAGCACCGGCUAACUCCGUGCCAGCAGCCGCGGUAAUACGGAGGGUGCAAGCGUUAAUCGGAACUACUGGGCGUAAAGCGCACGCAGGCGGUUUGUUAAGUCAGAUGUGAAAUCCCCGGGCUUAACCUGGGAACUGCAUCUGAUACUGGCAAGCUUGAGUCUCGUAGAGGGGGGUAGAAUUCCAGGUGUAGCGGUGAAAUGCGUAGAGAUCUGGAGGAAUACCGGUGGCGAAGGCGGCCCCCUGGACGAAGACUGACGCUCAGGUGCGAAAGCGUGGGGAGCAAACAGGAUUAGAUACCCGCGUAAUC
RNAcentral lists this ribosomal RNA (464 nucleotides) under uncultured bacterium. RNAcentral's name for it is "partial 16S ribosomal RNA". It matches the Rfam family "Bacterial small subunit ribosomal RNA", at positions 339 to 795 of the family's 1533-position model. The record is from RNAcentral.